This is a long non-coding RNA of Microtus oregoni (creeping vole), 255 nucleotides long. RefSeq lists it as uncharacterized. The transcript has 2 exons. The record is from RefSeq and is a predicted model, not a curated record. NCBI's taxonomy places the organism in Eukaryota, Metazoa, Chordata, Mammalia, Rodentia, Cricetidae.
ACCGGAACAACCCGGAAAGUUGCAGUUUAUGAGAAGCUGUAAAGUUCAAGCCACCGCCACUGCGACGCUGGUAGCUUGCAGACCUUGGAGGAGAGGCAUCUUUCUGCCAAGGUCUUCCUUUGGGAGAUUACGCGAGAGCUGUACUGUUGGAGAAAUGACACACACAGGAGUAAAUGCCCACAAAAAGACUUCACUGCAGCCCUUCUUCACAAUGUCUUCAAAGCUGAAUGGCAAGGCUUGUUUCUUUUCUUUUUU